AACCGAGCUAGUCGAGCAUCCCAUUAUAUGUCGCCUUAAAUUGGAGGAGAAGAAAAUUGUUUCGGACAUGUCCUUAUUUAUGGUGGGUCCGAAAAACUAAAAGAAAACAUAAUAGAAUAUUUAACAAAAUAAAAAAAAACGAAAAUAAACAAACAUAAGAAUAAAAAUUAUAAUAAAAAGUGCAGUUAUUAUAAUUUAUAUUAAAUACAAAAAUAUGAAAAAUAAUUUAAAUGUGGAGAACAAUUAUAAUUAAUUGAUUGAAGUAACAGAGAAAAAU
RNAcentral lists this long non-coding RNA (277 nucleotides) under Lathyrus oleraceus (garden pea). RNAcentral describes it as "Pisum sativum (pea) long non-coding RNA (PSAT_LNC022620)". The record is from RNAcentral. Lineage: Eukaryota; Viridiplantae; Streptophyta; Magnoliopsida; Fabales; Fabaceae.